UACGAAGGGAGCUAGCGUUGUUCGGAAUCACUGGGCGUAAAGCGCACGUAGGUGGAUCAUUAAGUUAGGGGUGAAAGCCCGAGGCUCAACCUCGGAACUGCCUCUAAUACUGGUGGUCUAGAGUUCGAGAGAGGUGAGUGGAAUUCCUAGUGUAGAGGUGAAAUUCGUAGAUAUUAGGAAGAACACCGGUGGCGAAGGCGGCUCACUGGCUCGAUACUGACACUGAGGUGCGAAAGCGUGGGGAGCAAACAGG
RNAcentral lists this ribosomal RNA (253 nucleotides) under uncultured bacterium. Its description in RNAcentral is "partial 16S ribosomal RNA". It matches the Rfam family "Bacterial small subunit ribosomal RNA", at positions 524 to 776 of the family's 1533-position model. The record is from RNAcentral.